GGCUCACUUGUUCCCGUCUUUAAUGUGCAAUCUGUUUUCUCCAGCGGAGGGCACUCAGUGUAUCACAAACUCAAGCAUUAGCACCAACAAGCUCUGAGCAUCAUCAGUCUCUGGAAAGCCUUCUGAAUUAGACAAGGGCUGCCUCUCAGCACAGCUACAAAACACUUUAAACCUGACCAGCUAAAUGGAUAAACCUAGCCUGCAUAGCUUUUAAACUGGGGUCUCAUACAGCACAGGAGGCCUACUUGCUUCAAGAACUGAAAAUCCAGAGGAUGAAUUGCUUUAUCUGGGAAUGGCAAAAGCCAGCACAAUAAGGAAUGCCAGGUUUCCGUUUAAUUACGCAGCUGAGAGGCAUGCGUGUGGUGCUAGUGCUACUUCCUACACUGCUGCUUGUUAUGCUCACAGGGGCUCAGAGAGCUUGCCCAAAGAACUGCAGAUGUGAUGGCAAAAUUGUAUACUGUGAGUCUCAUGCUUUCGCAGAUAUCCCUGAGAACAUUUCUGGAGGGUCACAAGGCUUAUCAUUAAGGUUCAACAGCAUUCAGAAACUCAAAUCCAAUCAGUUUGCGGGCCUUAACCAGCUUAUAUGGCUUUAUCUUGACCAUAAUUACAUUAGCUCAGUGGAUGAAGAUGCAUUUCAAGGGAUCCGUAGACUGAAAGAAUUAAUUCUAAGCUCCAACAAAAUUACCUAUCUGCACAAUAAAACAUUUCACCCAGUUCCCAAUCUCCGCAAUCUGGAUCUUUCCUACAAUAAACUUCAGACAUUGCAAUCGGAACAAUUUAAAGGUCUUCGUAAACUCAUCAUUUUGCACUUGAGAUCUAACUCAUUAAAGACUGUGCCGAUAAGAGUUUUUCAAGACUGUCGAAAUCUUGACUUUCUGGAUUUGGGUUACAAUCGUCUUCGAAGCUUGUCCCGAAAUGCUUUUGCUGGCCUCUUGAAGUUGAAGGAGCUCCACUUGGAGCACAAUCAGUUUUCCAAGAUCAAUUUUGCUCAUUUUCCACGUCUCUUCAAUCUCCGCUCAAUUUACUUACAGUGGAACAGGAUUCGCUCCAUUAGCCAAGGCUUGACAUGGACUUGGAGUUCCUUACACAACUUGGAUUUAUCAGGGAAUGACAUCCAAGGAAUUGAGCCGGGCACAUUUAAAUGUCUACCCAAUUUGCAAAAAUUGAAUUUGGAUUCCAACAAGCUUACCAACAUCUCACAGGAAACUGUCAAUGCAUGGAUAUCAUUAAUAUCCAUCACUUUGUCUGGAAAUAUGUGGGAAUGCAGUAGGAGCAUAUGUCCUCUGUUUUAUUGGCUUAAGAAUUUCAAAGGAAAUAAGGAAAGCACCAUGAUAUGUGCAGGACCUAAGCAUAUCCAAGGUGAAAAAGUUAGUGAUGCAGUGGAAACAUAUAAUAUCUGCUCUGAAGUUCAGGUGGUCAACACAGAAAAGUCACACCUGGUACCCCAAACGCCCCAGAAGCCUCUGAUUAUCCCUAAACCUACAUUCUCCAAAUCUGACCCUACCCAGCCCACCCUUGAAACACCAAGCCCUUCCCCAGGGUUUCAGAUUCCUGGCACAGAGCAAGAGUAUGAGCAUGUUUCAUUUCACAAAAUUAUUGCAGGGAGUGUGGCUCUGUUCCUCUCAGUGGCCAUGAUCCUCUUGGUGAUCUAUGUGUCUUGGAAACGCUACCCAGCCAGUAUGAAACAACUUCAGCAGCACUCUCUUAUGAAGAGGCGGCGGAAAAAGACCAGAGAGUCUGAAAGACAAAUGAAUUCCCCUUUACAGGAGUAUUAUGUGGACUACAAGCCUACAAACUCUGAGACCAUGGAUAUAUCCGUUAAUGGAUCUGGGCCCUGCACAUAUACCAUCUCUGGCUCCAGGGAAUGCGAGGUAUGAACCAUGAUCCUCCUAAAAGCAUUUCUACUUCGGGGAAGGAGAGGUAAAUGUUUGAAGCUCUAGAGAUGUCUCUAAUCACUAGAAAGAUUAAUGACCCUUUUGCUUUUGGGUUUUUGCUCAGUGUGAAAGGUUACUUAAUUAAAUUACAACCACCAGGAAAUUGACUGUUUUUGUUUUUGUUUUUUUUUUAAUGGUUGAAACUUGAAAGAAGUUCAUUCAAGGAUGAGAUUAAGUUGGAAUAAAGCACUAUGUUAAAACAUCUGUUUUUUAACAGUUUGUAUACAGGGGUUGGACUUACAAACACACAUAUACACAAAAUUCUUUUCAUUCUAAAAUUAAUGUCUGGUUCUUGUUGUUUGACUUCUGUAAUGGAGUAAAGAAGGAGGGACCAGCUUAAUUUAAAAACAAAAUGAUUUUACCAAAAUUCCAGGAGGUAAUGAAGAUUUAAACCAAAGAGCAAUUUACCCAAGGGUUGAUUUUGUUGUAAAUUUUUAGUUAUAAUUAAAGCAUGCAACAGGGAUCUCACAAGGAUAACUGUUUCUGUGUUACUUGCCAUUUAGUUAUUAUACCAGCAUAGAGAAUGUCAGAGGCCUACUGUGUAACUGUAUUAGGCUUUUAAAGAUGUCUUUCUUCCUUCUUUCCUUCCUUCCUUCCUUCCUUCCUUCUUCCAUUGGUUCCUUCCUUCCAUUUUUUUUUUUUUUUAAAUUACUGGACAUAGAUCACUUUUCAUAGGUUUUCUUAAGUGCUAGCUAUUUGUAUGUAAUCAGAAUAAUACUUAAAUUCCAUGUUUUGGCUAUGUCCCUGGCAACUAAAAUCAGGUCAUGAUAUUGUGGAUGAUUUAGCAAUAACAUAAUGACAGGCAUAACAGGGACUGUUUGUCAAUGUUGCUGUCAUCCCCAAAAGAAAUAAUGUGUAUUCUUGUUAAACUUAUCCAAAACUAAGUGAUGCAAAUAUUUAUAAAUAAAGAGAGAGAGAUUUGAAUUCUGGAUAUGCUCCCUUUCUGUAACAUUAGCUUGAAAUGAAGGCCUUCCAUGUUAUUCUCAUUUUCAUGAGAAUGUAUUUGGAUCCAGUUUCUGAUUAUUUAAUUUUAAAGAUCACUUAGAGUAUCAUGCUUAGGAGUAGAAAAUAGCCACAGAUUUCCAAACUGUUGAUAAAUAGUACUGGAUGCAAAUUGUUCUUUGUGUGGUAAAGUUGAUCAAAAAGUACAAAGACGUGACUGCCAAGGCCUUGUUGCUGGAAUAAAGUAAUAGAAAGAGAAAGUUCUGGCAGUAUUUGUCUCAAUAUAUGAUUUUAGAGGAUUAGUUUUUCAAAGGAAAGUUUUCAUGAGUGUUGAAUGAGUAUUUUUCCUUUUAUUACUAGUUAUAGUAGUGGGAAAAAAUAAUUUGCUCUUUGAUAAUAUAUACCCAGUUUUUCUAUAGUCCUAAAGGCAGAUGCUAAUGAAAAUGUUUUCAGACAAGGCACUGAGUUUGAAAUAUUCUCAAACCUAGUAGAAUUUGGAAUACUGAACUAUUCUUUACAGAGUUCAUUUUCUCCUUUCUGUGUAUAACUGAAAAUAAGAAAAGUAAUCCCAAAUAAUUAAUCCCUAAAAGAAACCUGUAUGAGCAUUUGAUCUUAAAAAUUAAAGAGAAUAAAAGAUUUUAUAUGAAAGUCUUAACAAGUCUUGAUGCUUUUAUUACAGGUUGAUAUUUAUAUACUAUACAUGAAUAUUAGUAAAACAAGUUCAUCUUGUUUUAUUCUAGGUUCUCUUUAUAUUUUGAGAUCCUUUUAAAGGCUAAUAAUAGAAAAAGAAAAUCCAGGUCCAUUCAUUUUCUCUUGACUUUUAUAGUAGAAAAGUGAUUUUUAUUUAGAAUAAUCACCAAGAAAGAAGAAAGAUUCUUAAAGAACUAGGACUUGAGUAUAGUAAUUCUAAAACUUACAGAGAUCUUCAGUUCCAGAGAUUAUUCUUUCAAAUACCCUAGGCUUUACCAUGAUAGGAGCAAAAUAAAAGCGUGCUUUAUUCCAUAAAAGCGUGUUUCAAAGCACAUGUUGAGACUAUAUAUGUUUUAUGGAGGGAAGUUUAUGUUCAUGGAAUUGUAGUGGCAUUGUUGGAGUUGAAUGUGGUGUUAGGAUAUUAAAUAAUGAAGAAUUUAAUUAAAUAUUGUAGUGAAGAGAAUUGAAAUGGCAGCCUUGCUAAAGUAGAUCAAACUCUCCAUGCCCUAAAAAGUGAAAAAUGACAGGCUAUCCAUUUAAGACCAUUAAGUCAAGGGGUCCAGUGAAGCUAGAUUUGAAUGAUGUUAACUUGUUUUGAAAUACAAACAUGUAAGAACAUUGCAGCAACCGCCCCCCUUUUUUGACAGGAUGUUCAAUCUAUUAUAGUUAUGGGUGAACAAAGAAAUGAGAAAAAGCAAAUUCUUAGAAACUGUGAUGACAACCAUAACUUCUCCUUAUGUCUUUGUCACCACAGAGUAAAAAUUCUCCUGUUGAGAAAACUUUUCUAUAAAAUGAAGCCGAGAGAGGAGUGAUUUGUCCAAGUUUAUGAUUUUUUUUAAGCCUAUAGAGGUAUGCUGAGUUUUAAUCUGGUGUUUUUAUAAACCUCACAUAUCAAUAGCUUAGAAAAAUAGUCAUUAAUAUAUUUAUAAUAUAAUUUCGUGAGUUAGGGCUUUUUUUUUUUUUUUAAAUUCAAAACACCAAACUUUACCCAAUAAAGCCAUAAAUAUUUAACUAGAAAACUUAGCACUAAAUGCUAAUUUUCUAAGAUAGUGCCUUGGAAAAAAACUACAUUAAACUGAAAAGUCCACUUAUACAACAGUUACAUUUAGUUACCAUGAUCUAAAUACAGUUAAAAUAUUUGUUUUGUCUAUUUCUUUGAAGAAGAAAAUAAAAAUAUUAAGACCCCUAAUUAGAAUGGUGCCUGUGAGCUAACACACAAAUAUAACAUUCAAUAAGUGAAUAACUUUGGCUCUAUUCUUUGUAAGUUAUAAUUUUGAAAAUUCCACAUGCACAUUCUAUGCUAAUACUUUGAAGGAGAAUAUUAUAGUACCUUAGGCAGUAAAAAUCUCUUAUAUCUAUAAAAGAAGAACAGAGUAGAUAGUUCUGAAUAAUUAAUAUGAUAUAUGGCACAAUUCUAACAGAUAUUUACAUCUCAAUCAUCAUACCUUGAGUGGAGCAGUGUGCUUGGUUGAACUCAUUUAAUUUGUUUAUC
Molecule: RNA transcript, 5058 nt
Organism: Mustela erminea (ermine)
Lineage: Eukaryota; Metazoa; Chordata; Mammalia; Carnivora; Mustelidae
Gene: LRRTM4
Gene name: leucine rich repeat transmembrane neuronal 4
Exons: 3
Source: RefSeq, a predicted model, not a curated record